CCCUUAGACGUUCUGGGCCGCACGCGCGCUACACUGACGGAGCCAGCGAGCUUUUCCUUAACCGAGAGGUUUGGGUAAUCUUGUGAAACUCCGUCGUGCUGGGGAUAGAGCAUUGUAAUUAUUGCUCUUCAACGAGGAAUUCCUAGUAAGCGCAAGUCAUCAGCUUGCGUUGAUUACGUCCCUGCCCUUUGUACACACCGCCCGUCGCUAGUACCGAUUGAAUGGCUUAGUGAGGCUUCAGGAUUUGCUUAGAUCGAGGGGCAACUCUCUUUCAGAGCGGAGAAUCUAGUCAAACUUGGUCAUUUAGAGGAACCAAAAGUCGUAACA
RNAcentral lists this ribosomal RNA (327 nucleotides) under uncultured eukaryote. RNAcentral's name for it is "partial 18S ribosomal RNA". It matches the Rfam family "Eukaryotic small subunit ribosomal RNA", at positions 1470 to 1796 of the family's 1831-position model. The record is from RNAcentral.